AGUGAACGCUGGCGGUAGGCCUAACACAUGCAAGUCGAACGGCAGCACAGUAAGAGCUUGCUCUUACGGGUGGCGAGUGGCGGACGGGUGAGGAAUACAUCGGAAUCUACUUUUUCGUGGGGGAUAACGUAGGGAAACUUACGCUAAUACCGCAUACGACCUACGGGUGAAAGCAGGGGAUCUUCGGACCUUGCGCGAUUGAAUGAGCCGAUGUCGGAGUAGCUAGUUGGCGGGGUAAAGGCCCACCAAGGCGACGAUCCGUAGCUGGUCUGAGAGGAUGAUCAGCCACACUGGAACGGAGACACGGUCCAGGCUCCUACGGGAGGCAGCAGUGGGGAAUAUUGGACAAUGGGCGCAAGCCUGAUCCAGCCAUACCGCGUGGGUGAAGAAGGCCUUCGGGUUGUAAAGCCCUUUUGUUGGGAAAGAAAAGCAGCAGGUUAAUACCCCGCUGUUCUGACGGUACCCAAAGAAUAAGCACCGGCUAACUUCGUG
Molecule: ribosomal RNA, 492 nt
Filed under: uncultured bacterium
Lineage: Bacteria
Description: partial 16S ribosomal RNA
Rfam family: Bacterial small subunit ribosomal RNA
Source: RNAcentral